Molecule: ribosomal RNA, 525 nt
Filed under: uncultured fungus
Lineage: Eukaryota; Fungi
Description: eukaryotic LSU rRNA
Rfam family: Eukaryotic large subunit ribosomal RNA
Source: RNAcentral
GGCGAGUGAACAGGGAAAAGCUCAAACUGAAAAUCGGCAGUUUACUGUCGAAUUGUAGUCUCACGAAGUGCAGCCUGUGAUUAUUCUAGGUUAAGUCUCUUGGAAAAGAGUACCGAAGAGGGUGAAAGUCCCGUCUUUGCCUAGAGAUAUUCACGUUCGGUGCAUUUUCAAAGAGUCGCGUUCCUUGAGAUUGGAGCGCUAAUCAGGUGAUAAAUUUCAUCUAAAGCUAAAUACUAACGAGAUCCCGAUAGCAUACAAGUACUGUGAAGGAAAGAUGAAAAGGACUUUGAAAAGAGAGUUAAAAGGAACUGAAAUUGCUGAAAGGGAAGUGGAGAGUUCUGACUGUCUGGCAAUUCUCUAUACUUGAUACAAUCUCGAUUGCUACUCGAGUACUAGAGUUCUGCAAUGACUCUGGAAGUGGUUUCCUUCGCUAAGUAAAAUACUGAUGUGAAUUCGUUUACUUCUUUAUUGUUUUUAGCUUGGGUGAUCUUAACUCUAUUGUGACACGCAUGUGGUUACACUACA